AUUGAACGCUGGCGGCAGGCCUAACACAUGCAAGUCGAACGAGUGGCGGACGGGUGAGUAAUGUCUGGGAAACUGCCCGAUGGAGGGGGAUGACUACUGACAACGGUAGCUAAUACCGCAUACCAUCGGAUGUGCCCAUAUGGGAUUAGCUAGUCGGUGGGGUAACGGCUCACCUAGGCGACGAUCCCUAGCUGGUCUGAGAGGAUGACCAGCCACACUGGAACUGAGACACGGGCCAGACUCCUACGGGAGGAAGCAGUGGGGAAUAUUGCACAAUGGGCGCAAGCCUGAUGCAGCCAUGCCGCGUGGAUGAAGAAGGCUUUCGGGUUGUAAAGUACUUUCAGAGAGGAGGCGUUACUCGCAGAAGAAGCACCGGCUAACUCCGUGCCAGCAGCCGCGGUAAUUC
This 406-nucleotide ribosomal RNA is filed under the name uncultured bacterium. Its description in RNAcentral is "partial 16S ribosomal RNA". It matches the Rfam family "Bacterial small subunit ribosomal RNA", at positions 30 to 526 of the family's 1533-position model. The record is from RNAcentral.